RNAcentral lists this long non-coding RNA (221 nucleotides) under Mytilus galloprovincialis (Mediterranean mussel). Lineage: Eukaryota; Metazoa; Mollusca; Bivalvia; Mytilida; Mytilidae. The record is from RNAcentral.
UUGGGGCAAGUAUGGACACAACAUUCAAGCUUCAUACAGCUCUGAAUUCGGAUUGUGAUUAAAUAGUUGACACAGCAAAGGUUUUUGACACAGAAUGAAUGUGGUCAAGUGAACUUAAAAAUUUUUUUUUUUUUUGCUUUAGAGCAAUUCACUAUGCUGUUGAAUAUAAAUCCCCUCAAAAAAACAUAUUAGAAGAAAAGUUCUUUUUAAUUUCUGAAAUC